Long non-coding RNA from Melanotaenia boesemani (Boeseman's rainbowfish), 315 nucleotides. RefSeq lists it as uncharacterized. The transcript is spliced from 2 exons. The record is from RefSeq and is a predicted model, not a curated record. NCBI's taxonomy places the organism in Eukaryota, Metazoa, Chordata, Actinopteri, Atheriniformes, Melanotaeniidae.
CAGUAACGUCCGGAUGCAGGUCCCCUACAUAGAGGGAGGCCAUAGGAUAGCUAGGCGCGCUAGGAUUCAUGUCAGACGACGCUUUUUUUUUCUUUAACCGUUUACGGACAGAAAUAAUCUGAGUAAAUUAAGGGCGUUCACUUUCUCUCUUUGGUAGCUUCACAAGAACGCACACAUAUACGCUAACCGCUAGCAACGUGGGCUACUUAGCCUGACUAGCAAAAUGUCGAAACGUGGCCUACCCGGUAUGGCUCACUCAAUUCACAAUUUAAUUGAGGCCCGUUCAGUCACCUAGAAACCUAAGCUAGAUUUAAA